GAGCGCGGCCCGGGGGGAGCGCGAAAUGGCGGAUGCGCGGGCGGGCGGCGCGCACACGAACGCGCGUGUCCGCGUCCCUCUGUCCGCCCGCGGACGGUCCGUCUGUCCCUCAGUGCACGGGGUACGGAGAUGAGCGACCGGCACCGGUUCCCGCCGGGGCAACAAAGCCUGCCCCCUGUUCCGUGCCCCGACCCGCCCGCCGCCCCCGGCCCCGCUCACUCGUCAGGGAACAGAAGUGGAAACUCGGAGAGAAACCUGUGGACUGCUAGUAAAUGAGAUGGAGGCAAGAGCUGAUCAAAGCUUUGAGGUCUUCUCCUCAGGGAGAAGCAGUGUGUCCUUCAGAGGUUACUGUGCCGGUUCUUGUAAGCCUGUUGGAGCUGACUGACUUUUCUGAAUGAAAAGGCUCUCUCUCAGAGGUGUGAUUUCUGUUUGUGCAUUGUGUUGUUUGUACACAGAGCUUCUGCUCAAACACAGAGUAGCGCUUCCCCGCGAUGCGAUCGUUAAGGUACCUAGAAUUAAUCAGCCUUUGGUGGCAGAGCUUCAAGGCAGCAGCUCCUGAAUACUAACAAUUUGCCUGCUAUGACUGUCCUGUGUUUUAUAUUCAAAAGAAACAUUUCUUUUGCAGAGUAAUACUUCAGCUGUUGCAGAGAACCUUGUUUCUGCUCAGAUUGGAAUAAACUUCCCUGAGUGCUGUUACACCUUUAGCUAGCACUUAUUCAGGGUGAGAACCACUGGAAUUUGAAGUGUCAAAGUUUAGGAUGGCAUUUACUGCAGGCUUGCAAUGUAGCCUCCUGCCUUCACUUACUCUCGCUUGUAAAGCCUUUCAGCCUUUGAGCUGAAGUCUUCCGCACUGUUGAUUUAGGAACCUAAUUAUGAAUGUUGGUACCCUGUUGACUGUGCUGAAUUCAAUGAUUUUUCCACUGACUCAUUUGGUGACUUUGAAUGAGUGAGGAGUGGAAGUCAGCAGUCCUGAAUCAUGCCAUCCUCCAGACAAUUACCCCGCUCCCCAAUAAUUUUUUUGAGCAGCAAUCAUAUUUUAAAAGCAGCGAUUGCAUCUGUAUUUUCCCCCAUCAUAAUUGCUCAGAAUUUAAGAGCUACAAAAACAAUCUGCAACAUUUCAAGUCAGUGUAAAUUCUUUCAGGAUUGACACUUUUUGGGAGGUCACAGUUUGGAAAUACAGGGGUUUUUUUUCCAGCAGGAGUGGGACUUUAGCAUGUGGUUUGGAGAAUUGUUGGGAUCCUUUUUGGGCACCUGCCAGGGGAAGAGGAUGUGGAGAGCUCCUUGCAGUCUUCCCAGGAUGUCCUUUUGGAGGCUGGUAAAACCAGAGCAGGCAAGCAGAACAGACCCUUGCUGCCAGAUGAGCAGACUAUUCCACUUCUCCAUUUUUUGGGCUUUGUAAACCUGCAUUUUACCAGGACAGAAAGUUGAGGCGAUCUCUGCGCUGCUGCCUGUGUGGCUUUUCUGGCUUUUCUGGACACCAUGGGAUCAACUUGGGCAACUGCAGCAAAUGUGCUGAGGGCUGGGAAGGCAUUGACCAGUGCAUGGAGUCAGGCAUGAGUCAUGCCUAUGGGACAAAUCUGGUGUCAUUUGUAGCUGCGUUCCUCAAAUCUUGUGCUCUCCUUCAUCCUCUCCCAAAAUAAAAGCAAAGUUUAUUGAAAUGGGGAGAUAGUGAGGAAAAGCAGUAUUUUCAAACCCUUGCUUUCCUACUGGGCACUCUGUUGCCCUCUUAAUAUUCAGCAGUAAGUGAUUUAUAGCCCCCCUGACAUGGUGGUUUGGUGUUUCCUUUGUGUGCAUAACUUCCUUUUGAUAUAAAGAGAUGAUAACAAACCUAAAUUGUAGUCUCACAAGCACAUGACACUUUGUGGUGCAGAUAGCAGGAAAAUGCUCUAAUCUUGAGUUCAACACUUCAGCCUACCCACCCCCAAAUUCCACCCUGGUAAGAGGGUGGCACUAGCAGGUUUAGUGAGACAGCAGUGUCGGAUUCUUUCACACACAGUAGUGCAGGAUGAUGGUUUUGGGAGUGCCACUGGAGUCAAGUCCCUGGCAUGGACUCAACAAGAGACGAGUGCACAGCUGCUUCUUGAACUUUUUUGCGUACCUUUUUGUGCUGAAUGCUUGGAAGGAAAAACUGCUACAAAACCUUCACUUUCUGCUGCCAGUUCUGCAGUGGUGCUCCUGCGUGUUCCCGACUCAGCAGGGAUGGUCCGUCCCUGGACCAUCAAACUGAAAAAUAAGUGUGCAGAAACUUUGCAAGUGUCACCACAACCUCAGGAUUAGUCCUGAAGCCAGGCUACUCUCAGCAUGAGGGAAGGGCUGCUCUUCUCUUGAGAUGCCUUUCCACCCUUGAGAGGUUUCUGAAUUUUUGAUACAGCUGUUUCCAGGGCCUCAUGAGAACUGAACAAACAGAUGCCAAAUAAAGUUUUACCUCACAGAGCACAAAAGUGGGUGGAUCUCGGAAAAACACUGGACUUGUUCACACCUUUGUCUCCCCUCCUUGGGGGUCAUUUGAAUCAGGUUUGAACCUUUUAAGUGUAUUUCAGAAAGCUGCCUUCUGAUAGCCAAACUUCACUUGGGUGUUCCUCCCUUUCUCUCACAGCUAUUGUGAGACCAUCUCCUCUGAACACUCAUGUUCCCUUUAUUGCAAAGCUCUUUGAUCAGCCUCAGCAGGUGACAUGAUGAACAGUUGACUGACUACUUUGGCAAAACCAGUUUUUGUGGCUUGACCUCCUUUUCACACACAGUGUCUUGCUGUGAGUACAGGGUCCUAUUCAGUGUCUGAGUGGUUAUAAUUGCUGGUUUACCCAGUCUAGACCUGGUUGUGGGAGAAACCCCCGCACAGGUAUCAAUCAGGAAAGGCUUCUGGAGUUAAAUUAAGCAUUUGAAAUAUGGAAAUGCUGACAUGGCUGGGUCAGAUGUUUGAUGGUACACAGGGGAAAUGAGUUGUAUAUACCCUGUCUGAAUCCUCAUUUACUCAGCCCUUGGCUUCAGGGCUGCUCAGUGACACUGACCCACUCCGUCCUUUGCAGAUGCUUGGCCAUAUUUAAUUUCAAAGGAUGCCAGUCCACCCUCUUCUCCAGGCAGAUAUUUUCCCUUGUGUCAACAUCCUCAUAACAACUCCAGCUAGGCAAAUAUAGCACAUGCCUUAUGAGUGUCCUGGAAGGACUCAGAGGUGGAGAGUUAGAGCUAAAGAAGUCUCAUGGUUAACCCCAUGUGCCACUGAAUAGCUUUGGGAUAAGUUGCAGCACAUGAUGAGGAAGCUGGGAGGAGACUUUAAUGGUCCUGCAGAGAACACCUCCUUAGACAGCCACCCUCCAAGAUGUUCCCAAGGAUUCCCAUGGAAAAUAAUCCCGUGCUCCUUUUAUGUUCUGGUAAACACAUACAUACUAUGCCUCCCUGCCAGUUCUGAGGAGAAAAGUGAUUAGUCACUCCACACAAAAACCUUUGGGAACUAUACAUAUACUCCACUAUGGAUGCCAGCUCCAUCUAGAAGGGAAUGAAGACUCACAGCUCUGCUCUGUGUGGUUGUCAACAGAAGCUGCUCUUUGCAGGUACUGGAUGCAAGGCCUUCCAGGUGCCCACUGCCAGCUGCAUCCCCAGCAGUGUUUGCUGCCAGGCUUAACAAAGCCCAGAAAUGCAAGCCCAGCUCAUGAGAGCUUCACACCUACAAGACCAAAAGCACAAGCUUGAUCCUGCUCACAGAGCUCCCUUGUUCAAGACAGUAGACUCUCCGGUCUCUUAGAGAAAAAAAGAAGGGCUGGUUAUUGCUGGAUGCCUGUUCUGAUCUUAAAAGCUGAAAGUAAAAACAAUCCAAGAUAUGGGGCAUGCUGAAGUGGCAGCUGAAGGGCUUUUUUUGUUCCUUCUGCAGUUAAUGCUGUCGUGCUAAAAUUGCACACGGGUGGGAGUGGGGGUUAAUUUAAGGUUUAGUGUGACCAAGAGGAAUUAUUUAGAAAAUAGCAAAUGGACAGCAUUCUGAAAAAUGAGCUUCACUUCCCUAACCAGGAGUACUUGACUUAAGUUGAAGAGACUAUGAAGGAAACCUCCAUAUCCAUGGCAGGUAAACAUUUGCCUUUGAUUCUGUUUUUCUCUUCAAGUCUAGAAACCCCAGCAUUUACACUUAAAUGUAUAUGCUGUAAGCUAUGUUUAGGAAGAGAAUUUCAUCCCCUCCUGCACGUACUUUUACACAUGAUAAUUAUUUGACUGUAGCUUUACAAAGUAUGGCUGGAGGGAUGGUUUGAAAGGGAGGAGUUACAUAGCACUGAUGAUAACUGCCUGAUUCAGCCCUACUGAAGGCAGUGGCAGCAGGAUCAGACAAUCCAGAGGAGAUUAUUUUAUUUUAAAUAGCCAUUAUGGACCUUCAGUGACUUAUGAUAAAUUCCUGCCUUCUGAUUUCAUGCACUGGAGAACACACAUGUGUGGUGGAACCAUGCAUGUCUUCAGAGUCACGUGUUCAGUGUGGACAUGAAUCUCUGCAUUUUGUCACCAUUUAAAAAAAAACAAAAACAAACAAAAAACCCCACAAAAACUAACAGAGAGCUAGAGAGCUUAUGAAGAUGACAUUUUUGUGAAUGAUGGUAUUUUUUAAUACCAUCGAUUUUGUCUUCAUCAAACGUAUCACAGAGUCUGAGCUUUUCCUUUAUUUUUUACAUUCUGCUUCUUCUCACCCACUUGAUCUGGUCCUUCCAUACAAAUGGAGUUGUAGUCCAAAACUCAUGGAGGCGUGAAAGAACUGCUCUAUAACCACAUGGUCUGGAUGCAAUACCUUGCACAUAAGUGCUUCUCUUUGUGCCAAAGACAUUACCACACUACCAGUAUUUAAUUUGUUACCACACAAAGUGCUCUGGAUAGCUGUGACAUUGAAACGCUUCCUAUAAAUUGGUUCCUGCUCAGCUCUAAAGACAUUUGGGUCUUCUCUUUGGUGUUUUUCAGUCUAAAAAAGUACAAAGGUGAAAACUCUCCCACGAGGCCUGAUCAAAAUAUUGUCUAAAUGGCAGUCUAAAUUUUGGCCUCUCUCUGGCUUGCAGGCAAAGCAGGACAAGUCUUUGUUUUCUUGAAAGAAACAGGGAUGGCUGUCUUUAAAAUCCUGAGGGGGUGGAAAGCAGAGAUGAUUUCCACCCUCCUGUGGCAAGGUCACUUCUAUUCCCCCUGCAGAUGGACCUACUGUAGAAAGAGGAUGGGCAAGGCACCUUUUGAGAAAGGUCACCAGAGCCUAUUCUGUGCUUUCUAAGGAAUGCAAGCAGAGGUAAGGGCUUUGUGCCACUACCAUUUAGCUGUCACCCAUAUCACAGGCAGAGCUUUCUUUGAUCAUAAUGUCUCCUAUUGCAGGAAGCUGUGGAAACUCUGCAGUAACUUUGCUGCACACAACUACCCCAAAAGGGACUUUGACCUUUUAACAAUGGCACUUCAUUAUACAGUAUUUUCUUGUGUUGAUUUUUCAAGUAUUGGGGUGGAGAUAAUCACUGAGAAACACGUGAUCUUGAAAAAAAAUUAAAAUAUAUUAAAUUAUAUAUUGUGACUUUUGAUUUAGAGUAUCUUUGUAAGCAUGUCUGAUCUUAUAUGCUGAUUUUCCUUUGUAUCCUUCACAGUCAUUUGUAGGUAUGGAGGAAAGUGUUGGUCUUCCAUUACAGCAGAAGGAGCUACAGCCCAAGGAGACACCUGGCUGUCAGGAAGAGGACUCAAACUCAGGAACAUUUGGGAGUCAUUUAAGACAGGAAGACAACAUCCACUCGAGUUUAAUUCCCUGUGCUUGUUUGUGAGUGUCUGGUUGCUUAGCUGUGAGUGGUGCAUAAAUCACCUGAGACUCUCCAUUCCUCUGUAAUUUACUGUUGGAAAGGACAGAAAUAAAUUCUAACAUAUUUGUGCGACACACCAGAAUUACUCCAAACUUAGAAGAAUUUUGGAGCAAAGUUAAAUGUUUCAAGUCUAAAUUGCACACUGCUAAUUAUCUCCUUAUAUUUUAUGUCAUCAUGGAUUAAAAUGAAAUGCUGCUGUGAAGGUGCCCCAUCAAACAGAACAUGAUUCUAGUUGUUUGCCUUGUGUGGCUUGAGUAAAAGUGCAUUUCCACCCUAGGAAAGUCCUGUAUGCCCUGAUUUCCAAGUUCAAAAAUAACUCUCUACAGAUGAAACAUGUUUCUCACCCUUUAAAGUAGUGUUUUCACCUACAAAUACUUGCUGCCUAAACAAGAGCUCUUUCCUUUGCACUUGUGCCAACAUGCAACUUGGAUAAAGAACUAAACUUAGAUUCAUAGUUAUAGUGCUUCCACUGACUUUUUUGGUUUUGUUUUUUAAUAAUGACUGUAAGACAUGUGCCAUCUCUCUCCUGAAUUUUAAUCUUUCUAAUGAAGGUGUGUUUGAAGAAGGCACACCCUUCAGAAGAUGUUUUGUGGUAUCAUCUUUGAGCCUUUAGUGUUGAGGACCAGCUGCAUUUUCAAUUUUAAAUGCACUUUUCAGGGUCUUACAUCACAGAGGCCUAAAUUAAAACACACUUACCAUAAAGAGGUGCAGCACAUGCAUUCAUCCUGGAAAUUGCACUGCGACAUGAAAGAUAUCCAAGCCCUACAUGUAAUUUUGAAGAUGAGCAAGCCUUGGCCUUUCAGAUGUCCCACGUGAGGGAAGUGCACCCACGUCCCGCAAAAUUGUAAGCUUCUGAAUCAUGGAAGCUGGAUCUUAAAGCCUCUAAUUCCCACUGAAUUAGAGAUGUUUGACGAUGUGUGUGGCUGUGAAAAUUAAUCCCAGUGCUGGACUGGGGGUGGCCGAAUGCCUGGUGGAUGUGAGCCUACGAAGGAACCCCUGUGGUCCAACACUCAGGGUGACCCAGGGAGAUGCAGAACUCAGCGAUGGGCAGCUCUCACUUUGUGCCUCCCAGCUCAUCCUCCACAUGUUAUUCAGGAUCAGGGAUCAGGAUCUGGUGGCUCCCCAUGGCAUGAAAAUUUUCUUUAGUGGUUUGCAGGCUGAAAAAGGCUGGUCAUGCCUUCUGUAAAGAAUUAUCUGAUUAGCUCUAGAUGUCUUUCUCCUAAUUUAGGUUAUUGGAGAAAAUUUUUCUUCUCUAGUAUGGUGGCAAACACCAGGAGUGAGAGCACUGCACCUCUAUUUUGGACAUAUAUACCAUGAUGAGAGCAGCAGCUGGUCUUUAACUUCACUCCCUGCAGCUAUGGAAACCUUGCCACAGGUUGUGCACCCUGCAGAAACAGAGACCUCCUUUCGGGGUUCAUGGGUUUAAUGCCAAAUUCUCUCUCCAUACACAUGGCUCCCAGGAACCAAAAAAUAGCUUCAGAGAGCCAUCAGCUUCACUAGCUUGCAGGUAUACAGAGGGAACCCCCAAACUUCAGCGUGAGUGAGACUUCCCUUCCUGCCUUUAUUUAAUGUCAGUUUCACUUGCAGCUGUUCAGGGGAAAGGUUUUUUCGCAAUCUCUUUCAAGUAUCAGAUACUGGCAAUCCCUCUCCUGGAGUGCUGUGGUUGGAGAGUAUCCUGGGCUAACUUGGGAGGGCAAGGCUCUCCCAUAUCUAAACAUUGCAGUAAAUGUUACUCAGCCUCCUGUAGGGUUACUGGGCUUGACACAAAUGUCCUAGCCAAGCUCACAAGGAAGAGGAAAUAUGGGAAUAUACACCACCAGAAGACACUAUCUCCCUUGACGUUUUUGUCUGUAAAACAAUAGCUUACAGAGCGUUUUUAACUGAAAGGUGUUGUUGGCCUUUUUCCUUUUCAUUUUUUGACUUUUGUUUCCUGUAGGAGAGUCUCUGGAAUUCCUUAAUGUUGUCAUCAAGUCCUAGGGAUUUUUUUCCCCCUCUUUUAGCUGUGCUACAUCUCCCAGGUUGCCAUCAAUGCAAAAUUGCUGAGGGAAGACAUUUCUGUUUAAACUGGAAGCCAUGAAUACAAGAGCUUCUCCUCCCAAAGGAAAUGUUGUUUUUACUUCCAUGUCCCCAGCCUUACAUCUUUGCUUUGUACUCAGGUAUUUUCACUUGAGACUUCCCAGUUUCCUAGAAAUUCUCAUUUACUCUCUUGCUGAGUCUGUGGAACAAGAGACUAAAUCCAUCUUGCUUGGAAAAAAAAUUAAAGAAAGAACAAUAAAACCGUAAUUGAAACAUUUUGCUGAAAAAUGUCACAGCAUAGUGAUUUUUGAAACAAAAGCCAAAGAAAUACUUUUUGCUUUUCUAAAUUAGGAAAAGAAAUGCAUGUGUAUACCCAUUCAGUUGGAGUGGAAUUGGAAAAUCUUUGUUUCAUAUGCAGUGCCAGCUUCAGGAAAAGGACAGUCUGGCUUUGUCUUCUUAUGUGUAUUUGUGUGUCUUUGUUAUCAAUAUUUAGCAGUCUUGGGAAGUUUUACUGUGAUGUUGAGGAGAAGGCUGCAAUUCCAGGCACUAAGGUGGCUCCUUUGGAAAGGCUAAAAUGUGGCUGCCUGCUCUUAAGAACUUCUCUAAAACCACAGGGACUCUGCACCCCACUUCCUUCUAACUCAGGACAACCAGAUG
This is a long non-coding RNA of Melospiza georgiana, 8462 nucleotides long. RefSeq lists it as uncharacterized. The record is from RefSeq and is a predicted model, not a curated record. The transcript has 3 exons. Lineage: Eukaryota; Metazoa; Chordata; Aves; Passeriformes; Passerellidae.